RNAcentral lists this long non-coding RNA (1378 nucleotides) under Xyrichtys novacula (pearly razorfish). The record is from RNAcentral. Lineage: Eukaryota; Metazoa; Chordata; Actinopteri; Labriformes; Labridae.
CUGUUACUCUGUUUAUAAUCAAAGUUCAUUAAAGAAUACUUCUGUUACUCUGUUUAUAAUCAUAGUUUAUGGAAGAAUACUUCUGAUACUCUGUUUAUAAUCAUAGGUUAUUUAAGAGUACAGCUGUUUCUCUGUAUAUAAUAAUAGUUUAUUAAAGAGUACUUCUGGUACUCUGUUUAUAAUCAUAGUUUAUUGAAGAGUACUUCUGUGCAUCUGUUCAUAAUCAAAAUUUAUUAAAGAAUACUUCUGUUACUCUGUUUAUAAUCAUAGUUUAUCGGAGAGUACCUCUAGUACUCUGUUAAUAAUAAUAGUUUAAUAAAGAGUACUUCUGGUACUCUGUUAAUGCUAUUAGUUUAUUAAAGAGUACCUUCAGUAUUCUGUUUAUAAUCAUAGUUUAUUAAAGAGUCCUUCUGUUACCCUGUAUAUAAUAACAGUUUAUUGGAGAGUACUUCUGGUACUGUGUUUGUAAUCAUAGUUUAUUUAAGAUUACUUCUGUGCGUCUGUUUAUAAUCAUAGUUUAAUAAAGAGUACAGCUGGUACUCUGUUUAUAAUGAUAGUUUAUUAAAGAGUACUUCUGUUACUAUGUUUGAAAUCACAGUUUAUUAAAGAGUACUUCUGUUACUCUGUUUAUAAUAAUAGUUAAUUAGAGAGUACUUCUGUUACUCUGUUUAUAAUAAAAGUUUAUUAGAGUACAGCUGUUACUCUGUUAAUAAUAAUAGUUUAUUUAAGAGUAUUUCUGUAACUCUGUUUAUAAUAAUAGUUUAUUGAAGAGUACUUCUAAGACUGUUUAUAAUAACAGUUUAUUAAAGAGUACUUCUGUUACUCUGUUUUUAAUCAUAGUUUAUUAAAGAGUACUUCUGUUUCUAUGUUUAAAAUCAUAGCUUAUUUAAGAGUACUUCUUAGACUCAGUUUAUAAUAGUUUAUUGGAGAGCACUUCUGUUACUCUGUUUAUAAUCAUAGUUUACUAAAGAGCACUUCUGUUACUCUGUUCAUAAUCAUAGUUUAUGAAAGAACUUCUAAGACUGUUUAUAAUAAUAGUUUAUUGGAGAGUACUUCUGGUACUCUGUUUAUAAUAAUAGUUUAUUAAAGAGUACUUCUGUUACUCUGUUUAUAAUAGUUUAUUAAAGAGUACAGCUGUUACUCUGUUAAUUAAAAUAGUUCAUUUAAGAGUAUUUCUGUAACUCUGUUUAUAAUCAUAGGUUAUUUAAGGGUACAGCUGUUUCUCUGUAUAUAAUAAUAGUUUAUUAAGGAGUACUUCUGGUACUGUGUUUAUAAUCAUAGUUUAUUAAAGAGUACUUCUGUGCAUCUGUUCAUAAUCAAAAUUUAUUAAAGAAUACUUCUUUUACUCUGUUUAUAAUCAUAGUUUAUUAGAAAGUAC